This 449-nucleotide ribosomal RNA is filed under the name uncultured bacterium. RNAcentral's name for it is "bacterial SSU rRNA". It matches the Rfam family "Bacterial small subunit ribosomal RNA", at positions 28 to 455 of the family's 1533-position model. The record is from RNAcentral.
GAUGAACGCUGGCGGCGUGCCUAAUACAUGCAAGUCGAACGAAGCUUUCUUUCACCGAAUGCUUGCAUUCACCGAAAGAAGCUUAGUGGCGAACGGGUGAGUAACACGUAGGCAACCUGCCCAAAAGAGGGGGAUAACACUUGGAAACAGGUGCUAAUACCGCAUAACCAUGGACAUCGCAUGAUGUUUAUGUAAAAGACGGCUUUUGCUGUCACUUUUGGAUGGGCCUGCGGCGUAUUAACUUGUUGGUGGGGUAACGGCCUACCAAGGUGAUGAUACGUAGCCGAACUGAGAGGUUGAUCGGCCACAUUGGGACUGAGACACGGCCCAAACUCCUACGGGAGGCAGCAGUAGGGAAUCUUCCACAAUGGACGAAAGUCUGAUGGAGCAACGCCGCGUGAAUGAAGAAGGCCUCGGUCGUAAGCUCUGUGUCGGGCGAAGUGUUGAGG